GAUGAACGCUGGCGGCGUGCCUAAUACAUGCAAGUCGAGCGAACAGACGAGGAGCUUGCUCCUCUUACGUUAGCGGCGGACGGGUGAGUAACACGUUGAUAACCUACCUAUAAGACUGGGAUAACUUCGGGAAACCGGAGCUAAUACCGGAUAAUAUAUUGAACCGCAUGGUUCAAUAGUGAAAGACGGUUUUGCUGUCACUUAUAGAUGGAUCCGCGCCGCAUUAGCUAGUUGGUAAGGUAACGGCUUACCAAGGCAACGAUGCGUAGCCGACCUGAGAGGGUGAUCGGCCACACUGGAACUGAGACACGGUCAAGACUCCUAAGGGAGGCAGCAGUAGGGAAUCUUCCGCAAUGGGCGAAAGCCUGACGGAGCAACGCCGCGUGAGUGAUGAAGGUCUUCGGAUCGUAAAACUCUGUUAUUAGGGAAGAACAAAUGUGUAAGUAACUAUGCACGUCUUGACGGUACCUAAUCAGAAAGCCACGGCUAACUACGUG
Molecule: ribosomal RNA, 497 nt
Filed under: uncultured bacterium
Lineage: Bacteria
Description: partial 16S ribosomal RNA
Rfam family: Bacterial small subunit ribosomal RNA
Source: RNAcentral